AGCAGGCUACAGUCCAUUGGGUUGUAAAGAGUUGGACACAAAGGAAGCAACUUAGCAUGCAUGCAAACUAAGUAUGACCAAUAGCGUGUCAUCAAAGACACAUCAGUCCCUAGAUGAAUUGUUAAAAAUACUGAAAUUAUGUGCUGGGUCCUAAAAGGGCAAAACCAUAUGACACAGGUUACUCUAAAAUAUAUACUUGUCACCUAGCUAUAUAGCUAUUGUAUAUUUAAUCUAAUACCAAUAUACUUUCUAUAAUGAACAUCAGUCAAAAAUUUGGUUACCUUUUGCCAGCUUAGAAUUUAGAAGAGUACAUUGGGGUUGAUUGAAGAUGACCUCCUAUCUUUACAGAAGUUGUUCGAAACAAUCUGAACUAAUGCUUUGUUUUUCUACGCCUCAUAAGAAACUGAGGCAUUUGGUAUUAUCCAUCUUAGGCUAGGUUUAGAAUUGGCAUAAGAAUUGAUAUUGGAGAUGGUUGUGAUGAUGUUUCCUCAAAAGAAAGGCAUUUGUUAGCAAGCAGCUAACAGCAGCAAAAAGGAAAAAAGUCCUUCAUGAUUAUUUAGAUCUCUUAAGUUCUUUGAAUUUUUAUUAGUAUGUGAUUGCCAAAUCAUAAAGUAUACUGUGUAAUUGUUAUCAGUGUGACAUCUUUUUUUUUUUUCCUCUAGCCUUCCCUGGUGGUUGUAGGAAAUCCUGGGGUCUCCUUGGGUCUGUGGCUGCCUUCUGGCCCUUCUGGUUCACGUCCUGCUUGCUUGGCAGGCCCGGUUGGGCCCCUUGGAACACGUCCACACCACAAGAGGAGAGUGGAGGGGCACUGACGCCUCCCCUCCCAGCACCCUUGUGUGGGGAGGCCCGAACAGGGCCUUAUUUUGUGCUCACAUUUUAUUUGUGUGCUGGUUUUACUUAUUUCAUAUCUGCAUUUCUUUGUGUGUAUAUUUUCACUAUCCUUGUCAUUUUUCAGUGCCUGUAUAGCAUUCUUUCCUGAUAAUACACCACACCAGUGUCCCACUAGGAUUGUUUUAAUUUUUCUUCAUAAUUAAUAGUAAUGUUAUGUACAUUUUUAUAUAGUCUUUUACAUUUUUUUUCACUUUAUAUUAUUCCCUUGGACCAAAUUUACCUAAAUGUAGUUAGCAGGUCCAAAAGUACAGCUGGAACCAUAACUCAUCUUAUUGUUAGACUGCUUUUCAGAAAGAUCAAAUUUGUAGGAUAGUCACUACUGUAGAGUUCAAAUGUAAUUCCCUACAUCUGGGCAACAUUGGAUUUUUAUCAUUUUAUUCCUUUUUUCUUCUCUGAAAGGUAUAUUGUGAUACAUUUGGGUUAUUCUAAUUUGCAUUUUAUUUCACUGCAUUGUUACUUUUAGUGCUUUCAUUUUAAAAAAAAAAUAUUUAAAUGGUUCUAUCUCUAAGGACUGUAGUUAACCAGCUCAUACAUUCUCAAUGUAUUUUGGCCAGCAGACUUUGAACUAUGGUAGGCACCUUUCCUCCCAUUCUGGUGUUCACCUUUUGACAUUUAGUUCAUUAGACAAAAGAGCAUUUUAAAAAAUGGACUGACUUUAUUUGAGACUACGAAUGCAGUGAUAUUAGGACAUAGUAGCUGUCAGAUGGCAUGCACACAUUCUCUCCUUCCAUUCUCGCCUCCGUCUUCCUGUUUUCUGCCUUUUUUGAGGGAGGAUAUUAGACUUCUUGCUAAAGUCAUAUGAAAAUACACUUGUUAUCCAAAGCCUAUCUCUGAGAAGGAUACUGGUCCCAUUGGUAAUAGAGAUUGCUUUGGGAGAGGUAAACCAGGCCAACAGCUGGGAGAGGAGAGGGAAACUUUUCACUGUAGCUUUUAUAACUUUUGAUUUCCAAACUGGAUUGCUGUUACUUUAAAAAAUUUUUAUUUUUUGGUAUUACUUUUUUUUGGUUGUUGUUGAUAUAUAUAUAUUUUUUAAAUUUAAAUUUAUUUCAAUUGGAGGCUAAUUACUUUACAAUAUUGUAUUGGUUCUGCCGCACAUCAACAUGAAGACAAAGGCUUAUGUAAGAUCAGUGCUUGUCAUUAUUGUGGAUCUUUAAAAGCUAACUUUAAAACUUAUGCUGCCAUGUGCGAUGAACUUCAGUAUGUAAGGGCAGAAAAUGAGAUGAAGGCAGCGCGAUUUAGGUAUAUGUGAUAUUUGGGCAGAACUGCCUGCCAUUCUAUUUACUAAACUUCACUUAACAUUUCUGGACUAUAGGUACAGCAUGAAGGAAAUUGACUUUCAUAGAAAUACUUCUCUUGGGCAUUAGUAUAAGGCUGAGACCUUCCACUGACCUAAAUUCCUGGAUAAAGCUGGGGUAUGAGAAUGACAGCCUUGGGAAGAAAGCAGGAGAAACCCAGUGAGGUCAGAUGCCUUGUCUAAGGUCACAUGGGUAGCCUGAUGAGCUAAUUCCACACAAGAAGGUAAUUUUCAACUCUUAACAGUACUGGUGUCCAUUUCAAAAUGUCCAGGCAAAAGCAGCUGUGCACUACAAAAGGCUAUCAUUUCUCACUCAGUUUGGGUGCAUUUUCAGUUGUCUGACCCCAAGUGAUCUGUUUGUUGUGUGAGCUAUACAGGACUCGUGUGGCCAAUAAAAGUCUCCAUUUGGACUCACUGUUCUAUACCACUUGUCUUGUGCAAAGGGCUCUUAAAGCAUCUAAUAGUUUAUGUUAACAAAACGAUUGUUGUAUCUGUAAGGACAGAAAUGAACAUUUAUCUUUGUUGCUGAUGCAUUGUGAGAAGAUGUCAUAAAAAGAAACAGAGCAAUAAAGCACAUACCUUAUUUCUAGUAAAAGACAUGGUUCUAGACCUCUUGCAAAUCCUCACUUUUUCUCUUUAGCAAUAUAACCUUAGGAACCUCAAGGAUCUAUGACUAAAACUAAGGUAGCAGAUAGCAAAUUUAACCCCAAAUAAAGGGGGGGAUAGUUUAGCUCUUCAGAUCAAUAAUGCAGUACUGGAAUGUGCUGAUAGUUUAAACAAAAUAAGAACCAAGAAAUUAAUAAGGAAAAAGCCAAAAUUUGCAAAGUUAAAGGCUUGAAUGGAGAGACCUUUUCUGAAAAAGUAAGACAAAGACUUAGUUACAGAAUUCAAGCAUAUACUGCAAGGCCACAUUCUGAAAUCUCGAGGGGAAGAAUAAAGCUUUGUUUUUGCAGUUUGCGGGUCUUGUUAAAAAUGUAGAUGCCUGAUCACCAUUUCCAGGUCCCCUUCAAGACACCCUGCUGCUGCUUUGAUCUGCUUUGUGGGCAGCACCAUGGACUUCACUUGGUUGGUACUGGUCACUCUGAAGAGAGAAAUGUACCUGGGUGUUCAUGGCCAUGACACAUGCCAAGGGCUAGGGAAUGACACGUCGUACCAUGAACGGAUUUUGAUUCCCCCAAAAUCCUAUUCGUGAAAAAGUAAGCUGUAAUGAGCCUGUCUUGGUCCAGAAGCCCCCUCUUUUUUGGUGGGUUUUCCUAAGCAGGUAUUGUAAUUUCAAAUUCAAUGUAAACUGUCCUUUGUGGGGAGCUUUACUACUUUGAGCACCUUAGCAUAGGGUGAGCCAUUUCUGCAUUUCUUCCUCCAAAAGCCCUUAUCAGAGCAAAAAUAGGUUAUCUGAACUGCUUCUCAGUGAAUUCCUCUAAUGUGUAGAAUGUAGGGGUUGGGAGGGGUGUCCCCAUCAAACUGAAGUCACAGAAGAAUGUGAUUUUACUCUUUGACUGGACAUGCUACUUGGAAACCUAAAUGGGAUCUUUUCUACUUAUCACUAAACUCUGCAGGCAGUUCCUGGUCAUUGCUUAGUUCUGAGAUGUGGCCCCUGUUUGGCAGGAAAAAGAAUAUGGGAUAGAGCCUCAAGACCUGUGAUGUUUGAGCCCUGGCUCGGCCACCUGCUGGCUGUGCCACCUCAGGCAGGUCAUUUGCCUCCAUUUUCUCCUCUCUGAGAGACAACUUCAAGACUUGCAAGGAAGCAUGAUCAGCUUACUGGAAAACUCAGUAUUCAUCAAUGUGAUGAACAAACUCUCUUUUUAAAUACAAUCUAAUUUAAAGGAAGAAAAGAAAUCAAUCCAACCUUCUGUAACCUUGGCACUUGGAUCUGUGGAACGCUCGUCAUCAAAGCUAAAGAAAAGAUACAAGACAUUUCAUUUUCUUUGUAUUUUAUAUGAAGGAAUGAAUAAUGAUUAAUGAAUAAUAAUGACUGUUAAAGAACCAUCUGUCCAAGUCUUUAUAUAGAUGUAAACCUGGCAUGGUAUGUCUGUGAGUUCUCAAAAUAAAAAUGACAGCUACACUGACUUUGGUUUAUAUGUUCCCACUUGUCUUAUGCAAUGAUACCAAUAGUUGAGAUUUGCCUGCAAUACUAAUUAUGUAUGUUGAGACAAGCGUGAGUGGAGAUAAAGCCAGUGGUGGGCCAGGAGUGGAUGUCCUAAAAUGGCAUCGGGUCAAAAAGAAACCUUAAUUUCAUGGUGCCAAGUGGAAAAGGAUAUAGUUGGAACAGGGUGGAUUUUCUUCCUUAUGCCCUAUUUCUCCCAUGAUACAAAGUGCUGCUGUUUCGAACUUAUGGUUAUCAGUGGGGAGGGUGGGGUGAAGGGAUGGUUAGGGAGUUUGGGAUGGACAUGUACACACUGCUGCAUUUAAAA
Molecule: long non-coding RNA, 4596 nt
Organism: Capra hircus (goat)
Lineage: Eukaryota; Metazoa; Chordata; Mammalia; Artiodactyla; Bovidae
Exons: 3
Source: RefSeq, a predicted model, not a curated record